RNAcentral lists this ribosomal RNA (555 nucleotides) under uncultured bacterium. Its description in RNAcentral is "partial 16S ribosomal RNA". It matches the Rfam family "Bacterial small subunit ribosomal RNA", at positions 355 to 900 of the family's 1533-position model. The record is from RNAcentral.
UAGGGAAUCUUCCACAAUGGACGCAAGUCUGAUGGAGCAACGCCGCGUGAGUGAAGAAGGUUUUCGGACCGUAAAGCUCUGUUGUUGGUGAAGAAGGAUAGAGGUAGUAACUGGCCUUUAUUUGACGGUAAUCAACCAGAAAGUCACGGCUAACUACGUGCCAGCAGCCGCGGUAAUACGUAGGUGGCAAGCGUUGUCCGGAUUUAUUGGGCGUAAAGCGAGCGCAGGCGGAAGAAUAAGUCUGAUGUGAAAGCCCUCGGCUUAACCGAGGAAUUGCAUCGGAAACUGUUUUCUUGAGUGCAGAAGAGGAGAGUAGAACUCCAUGUGUAGCGGUGGAAUGCGUAGAUAUAUGGAAGAAUACCAGUGGCGAAGGCGGCUCUCUGGUCUGCAACUGACGCUGAGGCUCGAAAGCAUGGGUAGCGAACAGGAUUAGAUACCCUGGUAGUCCAUGCCGUAAAACGAUGAGUGCUAAGUGUUGGGAGGCUUCCGCCUCUCAGUGCUGCAGCUAACGCAUUAAGCACUCCGCCUGGGGGAGUACGACCGCAAGGCUGAAAC